Molecule: ribosomal RNA, 371 nt
Filed under: uncultured organism
Description: bacterial SSU rRNA
Rfam family: Bacterial small subunit ribosomal RNA
Source: RNAcentral
CGAAGGGGGCUAGCGUUGUUCGGAAUUACUGGGCGUAAAGGGCGCGUAGGCGGCCCUCCAAGUCAGAUGUGAAAGCCCCGGACUUAACCUGGGAAUUGCAUUUGAGACUGUGGGGCUUGAGUUUCGGAGAGGUGGGUGGAAUUCCCAGUGUAGAGGUGAAAUUCGUAGAUAUUGGGAAGAACACCGGUGGCGAAGGCGGCCCACUGGACGAACACUGACGCUGAGGCGCGAAAGCGUGGGGAGCAAACAGGAUUAGAUACCCUGGUAGUCCACGCUGUAAACGAUGAGUGCUAGACGUUGGGGCCCUUAGGGUUUCAGUGUCGCAGCUAACGCAUUAAGCACUCCGCCUGGGGAGUACGGCCGCAAGGUUA